Molecule: ribosomal RNA, 1213 nt
Filed under: metagenome
Description: bacterial SSU rRNA
Rfam family: Bacterial small subunit ribosomal RNA
Source: RNAcentral
AGAGUUUGAUCCUGGCUCAGGACGAACGCUGGCGGCGUGCUUAACACAUGCAAGUCGAACGGAGCACCCUUGAUUGAGGUUUCGGCCAAAUGAUAGGAAUGCCUAGUGGCGGACUGGUGAGUAACGCGUGAGGAACCUGCCUUUCAGAGGGGGACAACAGUUGGAAACGACUGCUAAUACCGCAUGACGCAUUUUGAUCGCAUGGUCGAAAUGCCAAAGAUUUAUCGCUGAGAGAUGGCCUCGCGUCUGAUUAGCUAGUUGGUGAGGUAACGGCCCACCAAGGCGACGAUCGGUAGCCGGACUGAGAGGUUGACCGGCCACAUUGGGACUGAGAUACGGCCCAGACUCCUACGGGAGGCAGCAGUGGGGAAUAUUGGGCAAUGGGCGCAAGCCUGACCCAGCAACGCCGCGUGAAGGAAGAAGGCUUUCGGGUUGUAAACUUCUUUUAAGUGGGAAGAGUAGAAGACGGUACCACUUGAAUAAGCCACGGCUAACUACGUGCCAGCAGCCGCGGUAAUACGUAGGUGGCAAGCGUUGUCCGGAUUUACUGGGUGUAAAGGGCGUGCAGCCGGGCAUGCAAGUCAGAUGUGAAAUCUCAGGGCUUAACCCUGAAACUGCAUUUGAAACUGUAUGUCUUGAGUGCCGGAGAGGUAAUCGGAAUUCCUUGUGUAGCGGUGAAAUGCGUAGAUAUAAGGAAGAACACCAGUGGCGAAGGCGGAUUACUGGACGGUAACUGACGGUGAGGCGCGAAAGCGUGGGGAGCGAACAGGAUUAGAUACCCUGGUAGUCCACGCUGUAAACGAUGGAUACUAGGUGUGCGGGGACUGACCCCCUGCGUGCCGCAGUUAACACAAUAAGUAUCCCACCUGGGGAGUACGAUCGCAAGGUUGAAACUCAAAGGAAUUGACGGGGGCCCGCACAAGCGGUGGAUUAUGUGGUUUAAUUCGAAGCAACGCGAAGAACCUUACCAGGUCUUGACAUCCUGCUAACGAAGUAGAGAUACAUUAGGUGCCCUUCGGGGAAAGCAGAGACAGGUGGUGCAUGGUUGUCGUCAGCUCGUGUCGUGAGAUGUUGGGUUAAGUCCCGCAACGAGCGCAACCCCUAUUGUUAGUUGCUACGCAAGAGCACUCUAGCGAGACUGCCGUUGACAAAACGGAGGAAGGUGGGGACGACGUCAAAUCAUCAUGCCCCUUAUGACCUGGGCUACACACGU